AUGUCCCCUUCCAUCCCUGACCCCCUGCCUGGGACAAGCCUUGUUGGGGGCCCCCCAGCUUCAGGGCUGUGGUGGGAACAGCACCCGCAAAUGCCAGCCUCUCCUUUCUUCCCAUCCACCAGUUCACUGCAAGGCCAUUUCUGGUCUUUAUGCAACAGGAAGCCCAUUUCUGGUGAGAUGUGCCUUCCAGUGCCACAGGGCCACUGACCCCACGCAUCUCUGUCCUGUCCAUCAGUGCUGGGAUGGACAGCAAGGGCAAGCCCAGUGUCUGGCAGAUAGGUGGGUGGGAACGGAGAGGGGAGAAUGCCAUCCUAAGCCUGUGUUUGGGGAGCCCCCACACGGCCUGGGUACUGCCUCGGAAACCUGUCCUAAGUAAAACAUGGGCCUCGCCUCGCCCACCGGCCUGCGAAGGCAGCGUCUCCGUGAAGGUGGAUGAAAGCACCUUUGUCCUCAUUUUGAGCUGCAGGCUGGCCACCGCGCCCGGCUGCCCUCAAGUGACUCUCUAACCCAAGACCCAGCCCCUAGCAGGAGGAGGGUGGGUGCAGAGCUGGUGGGACAGAAAGAGGCCUCAGCAGGCCUGGCAGACCCUUCCAGUGCGUCCCAAAGCGUGUCAAGCAGCUCGGAGGACCUGUGUCAAGCUCAAGCCAUUGUAGGUCCCCAUGAGGUAUCUGAAGCCCCUUCUUGGUGACGGGAGGCAGAGGUGCUGACAUUCUGGGGAAUGGACCUGAGUCCUCGGCUGGCUCCGCGCAGGCCCCUGAAGGGGGUGAGGUGUGUGGUGACCUUCUGGAUGCCUUUAACUUCAUGGCUGCAUCAUUCCUGAUUCAGAAGUUUAGCCGGAGCUUCAUCUAGUGAUUGCAGAAUUGGACCAACGGGAGGACUGUGGCGCAGCCCGGUCCCUCCCUCGAAAGGACCAACAGGAGGACUGCGGCGUGGCCUGGCCCCUCCCUGGAAUGGAGCUCAGCUCUUCGGAGGUGUCAGCACCUGUCGCCUCCGUGGUCCGCCUGCCGAGGGAGUGCGGCCCCCGCGAGGUUCGGGGUGACUUUGUUUGCCGGAGAGGCCGGCCCUGCGUGUGUCCUGCGGAUGUUUGUGAGCCUUGGUUCCCACAGUACUGUGUAGGCUGCGUCUGUUUCGUGCUGGUCCUGUUGAGGCGUGAUGGUUCCCCCCCAUCCCAGGAGCUCCCUACCUGUGAUUGGCUGAACACCCAGUACCCCGCCAGCCACGCUAGGGGUUGCUGCUGGAAAUGGUGGCAG
This is a non-coding RNA of Chlorocebus sabaeus (green monkey), 1250 nucleotides long. Lineage: Eukaryota; Metazoa; Chordata; Mammalia; Primates; Cercopithecidae. The record is from RefSeq and is a predicted model, not a curated record.